This 394-nucleotide RNase P RNA is filed under the name Treponema sp. Its description in RNAcentral is "RNase P RNA component class A". It matches the Rfam family "Bacterial RNase P class A". Rfam says of the family: Ribonuclease P (RNase P) is a ubiquitous endoribonuclease, found in archaea, bacteria and eukarya as well as chloroplasts and mitochondria. Lineage: Bacteria; Pseudomonadati; Spirochaetota; Spirochaetia; Treponematales; Treponemataceae. The record is from RNAcentral.
CAAGGAAUAUAUGGUCGCGCGGGGUGCUCCUGAUGACAGGUGCAUUCCGUGAGGAAAAGUCCGGGCUCCACCGGAAAAGAUGCCGGAUAAUAACCGGGCAGAAAGGAUAGUUGCCUAAUACAACUGGCAUAACUCUUUUCUGACAGAAAGUGCUACAGAAAACAACCGCCUGUUUUACGGGUAAGGGUGAAAAGGCAGGGUAAGAGCCUACCGCGCUUCUGGCAACAGCGGCGGCAUAAGCAAACCUCAUCUGGAGCAAAAUCAUGCAGCAGUUUGGUAUUCCGGCCUUACACUGCGGGUAGAUUGCUGGAGGCGGCAGGCAACUGUCGUUGCAGAUAGAUGACCAUUGGCGUUUAUCGUCAACCAGAACCCGGCUUACUAUAUUCCUUGUUUU